GCUGUAAAAAGUUUGGCCUUCAAAAGUCAACAUAAUCAUUGACUUUAUACAGAAAAUUCGCCUUUUUAAAACAUUGAAUGUAUCACGAAUAAUAGCGACAAAAAAGUAAAAUCAUUUCUUAAACACUGCCAAAAAUCAUUCUGAUUGAUACAGUGGUAUUGUCAUAAAUUGCGCUGGAGUGAACAGUGGUACAGCAAACGUCGAAUUCCCUCACAC
RNAcentral lists this long non-coding RNA (216 nucleotides) under Mytilus galloprovincialis (Mediterranean mussel). The record is from RNAcentral. Lineage: Eukaryota; Metazoa; Mollusca; Bivalvia; Mytilida; Mytilidae.